AAAUUGAAGAGUUUGAUCAUGGCUCAGAUUGAACGCUGGCGGCAGGCCUAACACAUGCAAGUCGAACGGUAGCACAGAGAGCUUGCUCUCGGGUGACGAG
Molecule: ribosomal RNA, 100 nt
Filed under: Enterobacter cloacae
Lineage: Bacteria; Pseudomonadati; Pseudomonadota; Gammaproteobacteria; Enterobacterales; Enterobacteriaceae
Also listed under: 7 other names
Description: partial 16S ribosomal RNA
Rfam family: Bacterial small subunit ribosomal RNA
Source: RNAcentral